RNAcentral lists this ribosomal RNA (424 nucleotides) under uncultured bacterium. RNAcentral's name for it is "bacterial SSU rRNA". It matches the Rfam family "Bacterial small subunit ribosomal RNA", at positions 356 to 771 of the family's 1533-position model. The record is from RNAcentral.
CGGGAAUUUUGCGCAAUGGACGAAAGUCUGACGCAGCAACGCCGCGUGAGUGAUGAAGGCCUUCGGGUCGUAAAGCUCUGUCAGCGGGGAAGAACCACCUGAAGGUUAAUAUCCUUCAGGCCUGACGGUACCCUCAAAGGAAGCACCGGCUAACUCCGUGCCAGCAGCCGCGGUAAUACGUAGGUGGCAAGCGUUGUUCGGAAUUACUGGGCGUAAAGGGCACGUAGGCGGAUUGUUAAGUCGGAGGUGAAAUCCUGAGGCUCAACCUCAGAAUAGCCUUCGAUACUGGCGAUCUCGAGUACGGGAGAGGUGAGUGGAAUUCCCAGUGUAGAGGUGAAAUUCGUAGAUAUUGGGAAGAACACCAGUGGCGAAGGCGGCUCACUGGCCCGUAACUGACGCUGAGGUGCGAAAGCGUGGGGAGCAA